GUAUUUGCAGUAUCUGAUACCGGAAUUGGUAUUCCGAAGAAGGACCUGCCGAGAAUCUUU
Molecule: small RNA, 60 nt
Filed under: Paenibacillus illinoisensis
Lineage: Bacteria; Bacillati; Bacillota; Bacilli; Caryophanales; Paenibacillaceae
Description: hfq binding sRNA
Source: RNAcentral